Clupea harengus (Atlantic herring) is the source of this 1118-nucleotide long non-coding RNA. The record is from Ensembl. Lineage: Eukaryota; Metazoa; Chordata; Actinopteri; Clupeiformes; Clupeidae.
CUAAACAGGAGGACAUGUUUGUAUGAAAACACUCAAAUCAUUCUGAAAACAUGGAGGAGACUUCAUCUUGGAGAGAGAGAUAUCAAAUGAAGUUCAUCUUCCACAAAGCAGAUGACCCCUCUUCUACAGCAAAUUCACCAGAGAAUGCUGCAGUGGCGUCUCCCGGACCUACUCAGAAGGCCUACACAGUGGCGACCCGCCUGUCCAACACCGAGGAGAAGCCCCUGACCAAGCACAACCUGCAGGUCCUGUCCAUGAGCAUCCCUGAGCUCCACCAGCGCAUCACGGGCCGCCCCAGUCCUUUCGCCUUCCACACGGCCUACCUGCAGUGGGACACCCUUCCCAAGGAGCCCCUCGCCCUCCAGCCCUCCACUCCACCCAAAACAUCAAGCCCCAUCCAGCACGCCGCCCUUGCCAAGGCUCUGAGGUGCAGUCUGGGAAAGCCAGCCGGCCCCACGCCUGCCACCCCAGACAAGGAAGACCUGCCUUCCUCUUCCUCGCAGGAGGAUGGGGCUACGGCUCCUGAUUGGCUAAAGUGUGACGGGUCAUUUAUACCAGACAUUAGUAACAAGGAGUGGACGAUGGUGAGCUUCCAGAAUGAGGACUUCAUGCGCUGUAUCUCGCCGGUGGUGUACACUGAUGAUGCGGGGGACAUCGCUGGCAGGUGCAACAUGACCGACUACACCGAGUAUGGGCAGCUGGUAUUGUCCGUUGACAUCGACUUCCUCCAGGAGAGGAGCAAGACGGGAGACAAGGAGCUCACUGGCCCCGCUGUCGUGGCUUCCGGGGAGAAGAUGAAACCUCCGGAGUCGCCGGCCAGCGGGAAGAAAACGGCCAGGCACAAGAAACGGCACAGCACCCCAACACGACGAUCAUCAGGGUCCAGCCACAGCACUCCAACAAGAAGUCCUAUGAGGAUCUAAAGCAACAACAGUCCGAACACCAGUGGUAUUUCUAGUGUUGGUGUGAAGUGAAUUUUAGGGUUAGGUUGUGUUAGGAAAAACGAAUAAGAGGGCACUCUGAAACUCCUGUUUCCAGAUAUUUGUAAAUGACUUCAAAAUGACCAUAAGACAAACGGUGAUAUAUAAAAGUGUUCCUCUUAUAUAAAUACAAUUCAA